CCUACGGGAGGCAGCAGUAGGGAAUCUUCCACAAUGGGCGAAAGCCUGAUGGAGCAACGCCGCGUGGGUGAAGAAGGUCUUCGGAUCGUAAAACCCUGUUGUUAGAGAAGAAAGUGCGUGAGAGUAACUGUUCACGUUUCGACGGUAUCUAACCAGAAAGCCACGGCUAACUACGUGCCAGCAGCCGCGGUAAUACGUAGGUGGCAAGCGUUAUCCGGAUUUAUUGGGCGUAAAGGGAACGCAGGCGGUCUUUUAAGUCUGAUGGGAAAGCCUUCGGGUUAACCGGAGUAGUGCAUUGGAAACUGGGAGACUUGAGUGCAGAAGAGGAGAGUGGAACUCCAGGUGUAGCGGUGAAAUGCGUAGAUAUAUGGAAGAACACCAGUGGCGAAAGCGGCUCUCUGGUCUGUAACUGACGCUGAGGUUCGAAAGCGUGGGUAGCAAACAGGAUUAGAUACCCCGGGUAGUC
This 466-nucleotide ribosomal RNA is filed under the name uncultured bacterium. RNAcentral's name for it is "partial 16S ribosomal RNA". It matches the Rfam family "Bacterial small subunit ribosomal RNA", at positions 338 to 795 of the family's 1533-position model. The record is from RNAcentral.